UACGUAGGGUGCAAGCGUUAAUCGGAAUUACUGGGCGUAAAGCGUGCGCAGGCGGUUUUGUAAGUUUGUCGUGAAAGCCCCGGGCUCAACCUGGGAAUUGCGAUGAAGGACUGCAAGGCUUGAAUCUGGCAGAGGGGGGUAGAAUUCCACGUGUAGCAGUGAAAUGCGUAGAGAUGAUGGAGGAACACCGAUGGCGAAGGCAGCCCCUGGGUCAAGAUUGACGCUCAUGCACGAAGCGUG
Molecule: ribosomal RNA, 240 nt
Filed under: uncultured bacterium
Lineage: Bacteria
Description: partial 16S ribosomal RNA
Rfam family: Bacterial small subunit ribosomal RNA
Source: RNAcentral